Molecule: long non-coding RNA, 2728 nt
Filed under: Homo sapiens (human)
Lineage: Eukaryota; Metazoa; Chordata; Mammalia; Primates; Hominidae
Description: HSALNT0167987
Source: RNAcentral
UGCUUUAAGUAACUCUCACAGUGGAAGUGACUGGGUCUCACUCUGCCACCCAGGCUGGAGUGCAGUGGUGCAAUCUUUGCUCACUGCAGCCUUGAACUCCUAGGCUCAAGCAAUCCUCCUGCCUCAGCCUCCUGAGUAACUGGGACUACAAGCACACAACACCACACCCAGACUCCAUGGGCAAGAGCGCAGUUACAUGGCCCCAUCUAACCCGAAAGAAGGCUGAAAAUACUGUACAGCUCUGAGCCCAGGAAGAAGAGGACACUGGCUUUACUGAGCAACCAGCAAGGUCAGCCAUGGGUCCGUCUGGUUUUGCCAAUGGGCACUUCUCCCUCACCCUCUUGAUCAUUUUCCUCUUCUCCUCAAUGAUAACACAAUGUCAUCUGCACCUAGUGUCUAAAACUCUAGCUUAUGUAUUUUCUGGUUUAUUAGACCAGGUGACUUUUCUCUAAGAAUAAUACAGCCUGCAUGUGCUAAUGUUAUAAGUAGUCAAUUUGGGGGCUGAGUGGUACCAUGUUCUAAAUGAGAAAUACCUGCUGGUUUGUAAAUGUUUUAACUGAUUUCAAAACUAUAUAUACAGUUGACCCCAUAACAACAUGGAAGUUAGGGCCACCAAACCCACAUGCAGUAGAAAAUCCACAUGUAACUUUUGACUCCCCAAAAACUUAACUACUAAUGAUCUAUGGUUGACCAGAAACUUUACUGAUAACAUAGCCAAUUAAUAUAUGCUUUGUGUGUUCUAUGUAUUAUAUGCUGUAUUCUUAAAAUAAAGUAAGCUAGAGAAAAGAAAAUGUUUUAAGAAAAUCAUAAGGAAGAGAAAAUAUAUUUCCUAUUCACUAAGUGCAAGUGGAUCAUCAUGAAGGUCUUCACCCUUGUCAUCUUCACAUCGAGUAGGCUGAAGAGAAAAAGGAGGGGUUGGUCUUGUUGUCUCAGGGAUGGCAGAGGCGGAAGAAAAUCUAUGUAUAAGUGAAUCCAUGCAGUUCAAACCCAUCUUAUUCAUGAGUCAACUAUAUAUACAUAUUUUUUUAACAAAUGCAAUAUCUCUUCUCAUUGUUUACUGUUAUUAACAUACACAGGAUAAUCAACAUUUAGCUAAAGUAAUCACUAUUUAUUCAGUGUGUACUUUGUUGCGGAUUUGUGCUUUACACUAUAUACAUCUGAAAACCAUAAUCCAGGGGUUAUUAAUUUCUGUUUUAAAGUGAGACAGCUCAGGUGCAGAGAGGCUUAAUGACUGAAUCAAGGCCCUUUUCCUAGUAAUUGUCACUGCUGAUACUGGAAUUCAGGUUGGCCUGUCUUUAAGGCCCACAUUUUUUAUUCCAUACAAUCUUUCAUCCAUUAAUAAUACACCACAGAUUGAUGAUAACAAGGUCACAAUCUAAUCAUGAUGCUUCACAAUCAUAGUGGGAAUUUAAGGUUCUUUGGCCCAACCCAGAACCCGUAUACCUCACUUUUAUCAUGGGAGCAGUGAGAUAAUCUAGUUUUUCUAUGCAAAAUAUUACUGUUAUGAAUAUCUAUGAUUCUUGCCCUCUGAAAGUGAUACUAGUGACUUGUAAUGAGCAUAUUGGCUCAAUACUGGGAAGAGAAAAAUUAACAUUUGUGUACCUAGAUUAAUGAAGAGUUAGUUGGUGGCCUGGGGAUAGGCUGGGCAAUGAUUGUUCAUGAUGAUAGCAGAAAUUUCUUCAAAGGCUCAGAAGGCAUGAUCUAAGACCUCUCAUGAUGGGGAGAGAAUUUCUGAAGGGCUCAAAUUCAUUUCUGACACAAAAUCAUAAUGAGAUGAUGCAUUUAGUUAUACAGAUAUCUUGAAAUAAAGAAGAUGUUUGGUAAAUAACUUUACACUUAUGAACUACAAGGUCUGUAGUAUACUAUUAAAUGCGGUGUUUUUUUUUAGCCAUUAUGCUAAAAGCAUCAAGUUUUAAAAUAUGAACGUUUAAAUUAUUCCAUAAUUUUAUAACUCCUGUUUGGGCAUUUCUCCAUAUUUUUAAACGUACUAUUAGGUUGAUGCAAUUGAAAGCAUAGCAAAAAUCUCAAUUACUGUUGCACCAAUCUAAUAGUGCUCACAGGAGAAAAGAAGAAGGACAGGCUUCCCUCAACUUCUGAAGCAUGGUUCUACUAGUUCUUCUUAGGGCUGUGGAAGUUCCUAAGUGUGAUUAUUUGUUGGGAGUGGUUUAAGCUGGAUGUGUUUUGGGUUCCUGAGAACACUGUAGCUAUACACCUGUGGUUUUCCUAUGAGCUAGGCAGUUGGAUGUACACGCCAUGUGCACAGAGGAUACAGGCUUUGAGAAUUGAUGACUAGUCUAAGUUAUAAUUUUUGAAUGCACAGCAUUGUAAGGACAAAGAAAAAGUCUAUAUAUAUAUAUAUAUAUAUAUAUAUAAUUUAAAUACUUUGAAAUUUAUUGACGCUCAUUUUAAGGGCCAAAAUAUAGUCCAUCUUGGCAGAUGUUCAGUGCAAACUUGAAAAGAAUGUGUACAUUGUUAAGUGGAGUGUUCUGUAAAUAAUCAGAUAAAGUAGGUUGAUAGUGUUGUUCAAGCCUACUGUAUCCUUUCUGAUUUUCUGCCUACUUUUCCUAAGAAUUAUUGAGGUAUGGGUAUUAAAAUCUCCAACUAUUAUUAUGAGAUUACCUACUUGUCCUUGAAAUUCUAACAGAUUUUGCUUCAUGUAUUUUGAAUCUUUGUUGUUAGCUGCAUAAAUGUUUAGAAUUGCUAUGUUCUCUUGAUAAACUAACCCUAU